AGCUCAGUCGGACAGAGCAAUUGCCUUCUAAGCAAUCGGUCACUGGUUCGAAUCCAGUA
Molecule: transfer RNA, 59 nt
Filed under: Escherichia coli
Lineage: Bacteria; Pseudomonadati; Pseudomonadota; Gammaproteobacteria; Enterobacterales; Enterobacteriaceae
Description: tRNA-Arg
Rfam family: tRNA
About the family: Transfer RNA (tRNA) molecules are approximately 80 nucleotides in length.
Source: RNAcentral